CCAGAGAUGGAUUUCUUCAGUUCGGCUGGAUACCACACAGGUGCUGCAUGGCUGUCGUCAGCUCGUGUCGUGAGAUGUUCGGUUAAGUCCGGCAACGAGCGCAACCCACGUCUUUAGUUGCCAGCAUUCAGUUGGGCACUCUAAAGAAACUGCCGAUGAUAAGUCGGAGGAAGGUGUGGAUGACGUCAAGUCCUCAUGGCCCUUACGGGUUGGGCUACACACGUGCUACAAUGGCAGUGACAAUGGGUUAAUCCCUAAAAGCUGUCUCAGUUCGGAUUGGGGUCUGCAACUCGACCCCAUGAAGUCGGAAUCGCUAGUAAUCGCGUAACAGCAUGACGCGGUGAAUACGUUCCCGGGCCUU
This 361-nucleotide ribosomal RNA is filed under the name uncultured Thioclava sp. Its description in RNAcentral is "bacterial SSU rRNA". It matches the Rfam family "Bacterial small subunit ribosomal RNA", at positions 1000 to 1382 of the family's 1533-position model. Lineage: Bacteria; Pseudomonadati; Pseudomonadota; Alphaproteobacteria; Rhodobacterales; Paracoccaceae. The record is from RNAcentral.